Molecule: ribosomal RNA, 253 nt
Filed under: uncultured bacterium
Lineage: Bacteria
Description: partial 16S ribosomal RNA
Rfam family: Bacterial small subunit ribosomal RNA
Source: RNAcentral
UACGUAGGGUCCGAGCGUUGUCCGGAAUUAUUGGGCGUAAAGGGCUCGUAGGCGGUUCGUCACGUCGGGAGUGAAAACUCGGGGCUUAACCCCGAGCCUGCUUCCGAUACGGGCAGACUAGAGGUAGGCAGGGGAGAGCGGAACUCCUGGUGUAGCGGUGAAAUGCGCAGAUAUCAGGAGGAACACCAGCGGCGAAGGCGGCGCUCUGGGCCGGUACUGACGCUGAGGAGCGAAAGCGUGGGGAGCAAACAGG